GGCUGGUCCAAAGGUGGUGAGUUAUCUCACUUGCUUGUUCACAGUUACAGAUUGAGCUCCUUGUUCUACCACUUUGCCCCCUUCUCCCUACUGCAUUUGACUAGUCUUAA
This 110-nucleotide Y RNA is filed under the name Prolemur simus (greater bamboo lemur). RNAcentral describes it as "Y RNA (ENSPSMG00000002129.1)". It matches the Rfam family "Y RNA". From Rfam's summary of the family: Y RNAs are components of the Ro ribonucleoprotein particle (Ro RNP), in association with Ro60 and La proteins. The Y RNAs and Ro60 and La proteins are well conserved, but the function of the Ro RNP is not known. Lineage: Eukaryota; Metazoa; Chordata; Mammalia; Primates; Lemuridae. The record is from Rfam by way of RNAcentral.